This 756-nucleotide long non-coding RNA is filed under the name Struthio camelus australis. Its description in RNAcentral is "lncRNA (ENSSCUG00000014615.1)". The record is from RNAcentral. Lineage: Eukaryota; Metazoa; Chordata; Aves; Struthioniformes; Struthionidae.
CUCUCACUCAGGAGAAAUGAAAUGGUACGGAGGGCUUAUUUACUUGCUGCCAUCUAAGAAGAAGGGACAGCAGCAUGGUUAUCUAGGUAGUGAUGACAAACAAUGAAGGGUGAAAUCGGUAUAUUCCUGAAGAGGAGCCAUCAUGGCAGGCCACUUCUGAUAUUCUUGAUGAAGAGUCAAGAUCUUUGGGGGAAAUAUGAAAUUUUAGAGUGGAAAAACUGGAUUUUGUGAAAAUGGCACUUUCUAUUGUAAUGAUUUCCCCGCGAAAAUGCUAACCCUCUCCACUGGCUGGCAAAGUGUUUUGGCUAGUAAGAGAGCAAAGAGAAAUGUCUUCAAAGGUCUGGACAGCAUCAAAGUUAAUUAGAUCUGGAUUCUCUCGGAGCGAUUAUGUGACCUCUCUCUUAGGAUGACACACAAUACCUUAUUUUAUACCAAAGACCCUCCUGGGUAGGAAUGGUCACUGAAAGACCCUUCAUUCUUUGACAAUCCCAGCGCUCAAACUAGAUCUUCCAGCUUUGUGGAGACACUUCACUGAACACUCUUGAAUAUGUGCUAAGAAAGGGAGGUGCUUCUCUCAGGACUCUAAUGCACAGAUUUCCUACAAUGUCUAGUAAUGAUUGUCUCAUUAGCUAGUUACUUUGAAUUCACUGCUAACUCAAGAGAAGCUAAAGCAAAAUGAAUUAUUUGUUUCUAUUAACCAAAAUAGGUACCAUUGCUAAUAUUUAUAAAAGACAUGCAAAUACAUGAAAUAUAUUU